This 301-nucleotide ribosomal RNA is filed under the name uncultured bacterium. Its description in RNAcentral is "partial 16S ribosomal RNA". It matches the Rfam family "Bacterial small subunit ribosomal RNA", at positions 509 to 807 of the family's 1533-position model. The record is from RNAcentral.
CAGUCGCCGCGGGAAAACGAAGGGGGCUAGCGUUGCUCGGAAUCACUGGGCGUAAAGGGUGCGUAGGCGGGUUUUUAAGUCAGAGGUGAAAUCCUGGAGCUCAACUCCAGAACUGCCUUUGAUACUGAAAGUCUUGAGUAUGGGAGAGGUGAGUGGAACUGCGAGUGUAGAGGUGAAAUUCGUAGAUAUUCGCAAGAACACCAGUGGCGAAGGCGGCUCACUGGCCCAUAACUGACGCUGAGGCACGAAAGCGUGGGGAGCAAACAGGAUUAGAUACCCCAGUAGUCCCUGUCUCUUAUAC